Molecule: ribosomal RNA, 1056 nt
Filed under: uncultured organism
Description: SSU rRNA
Rfam family: Eukaryotic small subunit ribosomal RNA
Source: RNAcentral
AAUUCCAGCUCCAAUAGCGUAUAUUAAAGUUGUUGCAGUUAAAAWKCUCGUAGUUGAACCUUGGGCCUGGCUGUCCGGUCCGCCUCACCGCGUGUACUGGUCCGGCCGGGCCUUUCCUUCUGGGGAACCUCAUGCCCUUCACUGGGCGUGUUGGGGAACCAGGACUUUUACUUUGAAAAAAUUAGAGUGUUCAAAGCAGGCCUUUGCUCGAAUACAUUAGCAUGGAAUAAUAGAAUAGGACGUGUGGUUCUAUUUUGUUGGUUUCUAGGACCGCCGUAAUGAUUAAUAGGGAUAGUCGGGGGCAUCAGUAUUCAAUCGUCAGAGGUGAAAUUCUUGGAUUGAUUGAAGACUAACUACUGCGAAAGCAUUUUGCCAAGGAUGUUUUCAUUAAUCAGUGAACGAAAGUUAGGGGAUCGAAGACGAUCAGAUACCGUCGUAGUCUUAACCAUAAACUAUGCCGACUAGGGAUCGGACGGUGUUAGUAUUUUGACCCGUUCGGCACUUACGAGAAUCAAGUUUUGGGUUCUGGGGGAGUAUGUCGCAAGCUGAACUUAAGAAAUGACGGAAGGGCACCACCAGGCGUGAGCUGCGCUUAAUUUGACUCAACACGGGAAACUCACCAGGUCCAGACACAAUAAGGAUUGACAGUUUGAGAGCUCUUUCUUGAUUUUGUGGGUGGUGGUGCAUGGCCGUUCUUAGUUGGUGGAGUGAUUUGUCUGCUUAAUUGCGAUAACGAACGAGACCUUAACCUGCUAAAUAGCCAGGCCCGCUUUGGCGGGUCGCCGGCUUCUUAGAGGGACUAUCGGCUCAAGCCGAUGGAAGUUUGAGGCAAUAACAGGUCUGUGAUGCCCUUAGAUGUUCUGGGCCGCACGCGCGCUACACUGACAGAGCCAACGAGUUCAUUUCCUUAGCCGAAAGGUUUGGGUAAUCUUGUUAAACUCUGUCGUGCUGGGGAUAGAGCAUUGCAAUUAUUGCUCUUCAACGAGGAAUACCUAGUAAGCGCAUGUCAUCAGCAUGCGWUGAUUACGUCCCUGCCCUUUGCACACACCGCCCGUC